Molecule: long non-coding RNA, 238 nt
Filed under: Durio zibethinus
Lineage: Eukaryota; Viridiplantae; Streptophyta; Magnoliopsida; Malvales; Malvaceae
Description: long non-coding RNA (DZIB_LNC000405)
Source: RNAcentral
AUGGAAAUGAGAAAAUGGCUAUAUUUGGAAAGAAGUUUAAGAAAUUCAUGAAGAUGAAUAAGUUUUCAAAUAAAAGAAAACCUUAAAAGAAAAUAAUUAAAGGUGAAUCUAGUAAAAGAGAAAAAGAUUCAAUUGUAUCUUAUGAAUGCAAAAAGUCAGGCUAUAUCAAGUUUGAUUGUUUUUUGUGGAAAAAUUAAAAUGUAAAGAAGUCUAAAAAGAAGACACUAUAUCCAAAGCA